RNAcentral lists this ribosomal RNA (301 nucleotides) under uncultured bacterium. Its description in RNAcentral is "partial 16S ribosomal RNA". It matches the Rfam family "Bacterial small subunit ribosomal RNA", at positions 509 to 807 of the family's 1533-position model. The record is from RNAcentral.
CAGUAGCCGCGGUAAUACGUAGGGUGCAAGCGUUAAUCGGAAUUACUGGGCGUAAAGCGUGCGCAGGCGGUUUGUUAAGACAGAUGUGAAAUCCCCGGGCUCAACCUGGGAACUGCAUUUGUGACUGGCAAGCUAGAGUCUGGCAGAGGGGGGUGGAAUUCUGCGUGUAGCAGUGAAAUGCGUAGAUAUGCGGAGGAACACCGAUGGCGAAGGCAGCCCCCUGGGCCAACACUGACGCUCAUGCACGAAAGCGUGGGGAGCAAACAGGAUUAGAUACCCGCGUAGUCCCUGUCUCUUAUAC